UAUGCUUAACACAUGCAAGUCGAACGGCAGCACGAGAGAGCUUGCUCUCUUGCUGACGAGUGGCGGACGGGUGAGUAACGCGUAAGAAUCUGCCUAGUAGUGGGGGAUAACUCGGGGAAACUCGAGCUAAUACCGCAUACGCCCUACGGGGGAAAGUGGGGGACCUUCGGGCCUCACGCUAGUAGAUGAGCUUGCGUUGGAUUAGCUAGUUGGUGAGGUAAUGGCUCACCAAGGCGACGAUCCAUAGCUGGUCUGAGAGGACGAUCAGCCACACUGGGACUGAGACACGGCCCAGACUCCUACGGGAGGCAGCAGUGGGGAAUAUUGGACAAUGGGCGCAAGCCUGAUCCAGCAAUACCGCGUGUGUGAAGAAGGCCUGCGGGUUGUAAAGCACUUUCAAUUGUGAAGAAAAGCUUGGGGUUAAUAGCCCCGAGUCUUGACGUUAACUUUAGAAGAAGCACCGGCUAACUCUGUGCCAGCAGCCGCGGUAAUACAGAGGGUGCGAGCGUUAAUCGGAAUUACUGGGCGUAAAGCGUGCGUAGGCGGUUUAGUAAGUCAGAUGUGAAAGCCCUGGGCUUAACCUGGGAACUGCAUUUGAAACUGCUGAACUAGAGUGUGGUAGAGGGAAGUGGAAUUCCGGGUGUAGCGGUGAAAUGCGUAGAUAUCCGGAGGAACACCAGUGGCGAAGGCGACUUCCUGGACCAACACUGACGCUGAGGUACGAAAGCGUGGGUAGCAAACAGGAUUAGAUACCCUGGUAGUCCACGCCGUAAACGAUGUCAACUAGUUGUUGGGAGCAUUCUGGCUUUUAGUAACGUAGCUAACGCGAUAAGUUGACUGCCUGGGGAGUACGGCCGCAAGGUUAAAACUCAAAGGAAUUGACGGGGGCCCGCACAGCGGUGGAGCAUGUGGUUUAAUUCGAUGCAACGCGAAGAACCUUACCAGCCCUUGGACAUCCUGCGAACUUUCUAGAGAUAAUUGGUGCCUUCGGGAACGC
Molecule: ribosomal RNA, 997 nt
Filed under: bacterium enrichment culture clone PAH4-P1
Lineage: Bacteria
Description: bacterial SSU rRNA
Rfam family: Bacterial small subunit ribosomal RNA
Source: RNAcentral